CUAAAAAAUCUCCAACGGAAAAGCCUAAAAAAUCUCCAACAGAAAAGGUUGGAGAUAAAGGAGAGGCUGGAAAUUUUGAAAUGAUGAAAAUGAACAUCCGUAGACGCUUGGAGGAGGCAAAACGUGAGCAACAGUACCGGAGAGAAAUUUGCUCACGAGCCCGCGAGCUGAGAUGUGGAAUGGAA
Molecule: long non-coding RNA, 185 nt
Organism: Pocillopora damicornis (cauliflower coral)
Lineage: Eukaryota; Metazoa; Cnidaria; Anthozoa; Scleractinia; Pocilloporidae
Source: RefSeq, a predicted model, not a curated record